UACGUAGGGUGCGAGCGUUGUCCGGAAUUAUUGGGCGUAAAGGGCUCGUAGGCGGUUUGUCGCGUCGAAAGUGAAACUCCGAGGCUCAACCUCGGAACUGCUUUCGAUACGGGCAGACUAGAGGUAGGCAGGGGAGAGUGGAACUCCAGGUGUAGCGGUGGAAUGCGCAGAUAUCUGGAAGAACACCGGUGGCGAAGGCGGCUCUCUGGGCCUUACCUGACGCUGAGGAGCGAAAGCGUGGGUAGCGAACAGG
Molecule: ribosomal RNA, 253 nt
Filed under: uncultured bacterium
Lineage: Bacteria
Description: partial 16S ribosomal RNA
Rfam family: Bacterial small subunit ribosomal RNA
Source: RNAcentral